Molecule: ribosomal RNA, 468 nt
Filed under: uncultured bacterium
Lineage: Bacteria
Description: partial 16S ribosomal RNA
Rfam family: Bacterial small subunit ribosomal RNA
Source: RNAcentral
GACGAACGCUGGCGGCGUGCUUAACACAUGCAAGUCGAACGGAAAGGCCCUGCUUUUGUGGGGUGCUCGAGUGGCGAACGGGUGAGUAACACGUGAGUAACCUGCCCUUGACUUUGGGAUAACUUCAGGAAACUGGGGCUAAUACCGGAUAGGAGCUCCUGCUGCAUGGUGGGGGUUGGAAAGUUUCGGCGGUUGGGGAUGGACUCGCGGCUUAUCAGCUUGUUGGUGGGGUAGUGGCUUACCAAGGCUUUGACGGGUAGCCGGCCUGGGAGGGUGACCGGCCCCAUUGGGACUGAGAUACGGCCCAGACUCCUACGUGAGGCAGCAGUGGGGAAUAUUGCACAAUGGGCGGAAGCCUGAUGCAGCAACGCCGCGUGCGGGAUGACGGCCUUCGGGUUGUAAACCGCUUUCGCCUGUGACGAAGCGUGAGUGACGGUAAUGUGUAAAGAAGCACCGGCUAACUACGUG